Acanthosepion pharaonis is the source of this 109-nucleotide non-coding RNA. The record is from the annotation of a GenBank genome assembly. NCBI's taxonomy places the organism in Eukaryota, Metazoa, Mollusca, Cephalopoda, Sepiida, Sepiidae.
ACGGUCAUAUCAAUUUGAAACACCCAUUCUCGUACGAUCAUCGAAGUUAAGCAACGACAUGUCUGGUCAGAACAUAGAUGGGUGACCGUUUGGGAAUACCGGGUAGUGU